Small nuclear RNA from Jaculus jaculus (lesser Egyptian jerboa), 105 nucleotides. The record is from Ensembl. Lineage: Eukaryota; Metazoa; Chordata; Mammalia; Rodentia; Dipodidae.
GCGCUUGCUUCGGCAGCACAUAUACUAAAAUUGGAACGCUACGGAGGUUAGCAUGGCCCCUGUGCAAGGAUGCCACGCAAACAGAAGGACUGGAGAGAUGGCUUA